Vicia villosa (hairy vetch) is the source of this 243-nucleotide long non-coding RNA. RefSeq lists it as uncharacterized. The record is from RefSeq and is a predicted model, not a curated record. The transcript is spliced from 4 exons. Lineage: Eukaryota; Viridiplantae; Streptophyta; Magnoliopsida; Fabales; Fabaceae.
AAAGAACACGAACAAAAACUCCAUCUCCCAAAGCCAUAUGAACAAAAAACACGCACACUCUGAAAACUCCAUCUCCCAAAACUAUCUCGCUUCGCCGCUCCACCGCUCCGCCGCUGCUGCCACCUCCAUCGCUUACAGUUGAGGUACCAAAGCUUCUGGAGGCUUCCUCUAUUCAUCUGCGUACGAUUAUCUGGCUUCUGGAGGCUAAUACGGGGAGGAAUAUUCUUGAAACAGAUCAUCCAG